UACCAACCCGAUGCAAACUGCGAAUACCGGAGAAUGUUAUCACGGGAGACACACGGCGGGUGCUAACGUCCGUCGUGAAGAGGGAAACAACCCAGACCGCCAGCUAAGGUCCCAAAGUCAUGGUUAAGUGGGAAACGAUGUGGGAAGGCCCAGACAGCCAGGAUGUUGGCUUAGAAGCAGCCAUCAUUUAAAGAAAGCGUAAUAGCUCACUGGUCGAGUCGGCCUGCGCGGAAGAUGUAACGGGGCUAAACCAUGCACCGAAGCUGCGGCAGCGACACUAUGUGUUGUUGGGUAGGGGAGCGUUCUGUAAGCCUGUGAAGGUGUACUGUGAGGUAUGCUGGAGGUAUCAGAAGUGCGAAUGCUGACAUAAGUAACGAUAAAGCGGGUGAAAAGCCCGCUCGCCGGAAGACCAAGGGUUCCUGUCCAACGUUAAUCGGGGCAGGGUGAGUCGACCCCUAAGGCGAGGCCGAAAGGCGUAGUCGAUGGGAAACAGGUUAAUAUUCCUGUACUUGGUGUUACUGCGAAGGGGGGACGGAGAAGGCUAUGUUGGCCGGGCGACGGUUGUCCCGGUUUAAGCGUGUAGGCUGGUUUUCCAGGCAAAUCCGGAAAAUCAAGGCUGAGGCGUGAUGACGAGGCACUACGGUGCUGAAGCAACAAAUGCCCUGCUUCCAGGAAAAGCCUCUAAGCAUCAGGUAACAUCAAAUCGUACCCCAAACCGACACAGGUGGUCAGGUAGAGAAUACCAAGGCGCUUGAGAGAACUCGGGUGAAGGAACUAGGCAAAAUGGUGCCGUAACUUCGGGAGAAGGCACGCUGAUAUGUAGGUGAAGUCCCUCGCGGAUGGAGCUGAAAUCAGUCGAAGAUACCAGCUGGCUGCAACUGUUUAUUAAAAACACAGCACUGUGCAAACACGAAAGUGGACGUAUACGGUGUGACGCCUGCCCGGUGCCGGAAGGU
Molecule: ribosomal RNA, 956 nt
Filed under: Escherichia coli
Lineage: Bacteria; Pseudomonadati; Pseudomonadota; Gammaproteobacteria; Enterobacterales; Enterobacteriaceae
Description: partial 23S ribosomal RNA
Rfam family: Bacterial large subunit ribosomal RNA
Source: RNAcentral